Strigops habroptila (Kakapo) is the source of this 126-nucleotide long non-coding RNA. RefSeq lists it as uncharacterized. The record is from RefSeq and is a predicted model, not a curated record. NCBI's taxonomy places the organism in Eukaryota, Metazoa, Chordata, Aves, Psittaciformes, Psittacidae. The transcript is spliced from 6 exons.
CACUGUGUCUUCAUGGGUUUCUUAGAGGAGUUCUUGGCCCAGCUACAGCUCAGGCCUUUACCUCCUUCGGAGCCUGUACAAAACUACUGCUGGUUUGGUUAAGGGGGUAGAAAGACCAUCAAUUAC